This 343-nucleotide transfer RNA is filed under the name Arabidopsis thaliana (thale cress). Its description in RNAcentral is "ATSL057940". The stretch from base 75 to 159 matches the Rfam family "tRNA". Lineage: Eukaryota; Viridiplantae; Streptophyta; Magnoliopsida; Brassicales; Brassicaceae. The record is from RNAcentral.
UAUGCUAACUUAAUACAAAUCAUUGUGUUGAUAGAAUAUUUAGAUCAGUACACAUGCAUGAAAUAGAAUACAAUCCGACCUUAGCUCAGUUGGUAGAGCGGAGGACUGUAGUAGACGCAGAUUAUCCUUAGGUCACUGGUUCGAAUCCGGUAGGUCGGAAUUUGCUCCCACAUGAGAGCUUUUUAUUUUUCUUUUGUUGUGACAUUAAGGUGUUUGAAUUUUAUAAUAAACGGUUAUAUGGUGGUCGACAAUUCAACAUACCGAAAAGUUUUGCUCGUAUUCUUAAAUGAUCCGUAUGUUUAGCUUUUUUCAAUAUUGAUACGAUGAGAAAUGAUUUAAAAGU